CACCGCCUGGGGAGUACGACCGCAAGGUUAAAACUCAAAUGAAUUGACGGGGACCCGCACAAGUAGUGGAGCAUGUGGUUUAAUUCGAAGAUACGCGCAGAACCUUACCAACACUUGACAUGUUCGUCGCGACUUUAAGAGAUUAAAGUUUUCGGUUCGGCCGGACGAAACACAGGUGCUGCAUGGCUGUCGUCAGCUCGUGUCGUGAGAUGUUGGGUUAAGUCCCGCAACGAGCGCAACCCUCACUUUUAGUUGCCAUCAUUAAGUUGGGCACUCUGAAAGAACUGCCAGUGAUAAGCUGGAGGAAGGUGGGGAUGACGUCAAGUCCUCAUGGCCCUUACGUGUUGGGCUACACACGUGCUACAAUGGUAUCUACAACAGGAAGCAAGACGGCGACGUUAAGCAAAUCCUUAAAAGAUACCUCAGUUCGGAUUGCACUCUGCAACUCGAGUGCAUGAAGCUGGAAUUACUAGUAAUCGUGGAUCAGCGUGCCACGGUGAAUGCGUUCCCGGGUCUUGUACACACCGCCCGUCACACCAUGGGAGUUGGUUCUACCUUAAGGCAAGGUUUAAAACCCUUGACCACGGUAUAGUCAGCGACUGGGGUGAAGUCGUAACAAGGUAGCCGUAGGGGAACCUGCGGCUGGAUUACCUCCUUUCUAAGGAUGAAUAAAAGUAAUAUUUUAUUCUAAAUAAUUUACACGGUUAAUGUUGACCGUCCUCAUUUCUCUUCUUAAGUUAGUGUUUCUCUUGCAUGGGGGCCGGUAGCUCAGUUGGUUAGAGCACACCCUUGAUAAGGGUGGGGUCGAAAGUUCGAGUCUUUCUCGGCCCACCAAAAGAUAAAGAUUAAGGGGGAUUAGCUCAGCUGGGAGAGCGCCUGAUUUGCAUUCAGGAGGUCAGCGGUUCGAUCCCGCUAUCCUCCACCAAACACUUAGUUAUACAAAUUGUGAAUAAGAUAAUAAUUAAUAUCAAUAUCUAUAUCCGAACAUUAGUAAUGUUAUUAGCUAAUGUUCAAAUAAAAAUUUAAUUCAACACAGAAUUUUUUUCUG
RNAcentral lists this small RNA (1048 nucleotides) under uncultured Pelagibacterales bacterium. RNAcentral's name for it is "bacterial SSU rRNA". The stretch from base 1 to 658 matches the Rfam family "Bacterial small subunit ribosomal RNA", at positions 867 to 1533 of the family's 1533-position model. Lineage: Bacteria; Pseudomonadati; Pseudomonadota; Alphaproteobacteria; Candidatus Pelagibacterales. The record is from RNAcentral.